Molecule: long non-coding RNA, 219 nt
Filed under: Elaeis guineensis (African oil palm)
Lineage: Eukaryota; Viridiplantae; Streptophyta; Magnoliopsida; Arecales; Arecaceae
Description: long non-coding RNA (EGUI_LNC058553)
Source: RNAcentral
UAUUGAAACAAGUAUGCAUAAAAAUUUUAAAAAUUCAGAUUAAAUCUAAUUUAAUCUAAGCAUGCAUAAGAUCAAAUCUUAAACCAUAAACAAGAUCUACAUAAGUGAGAUAGGAUUCAGAUAUAGAAAUCAAAUAAAGAAAAAUAAAUGAGAAGAUCUAAUCUGUCUCUAAGAACUAAAUCCAAACGAUAAUCACAAAGGACAGAUACCCAUGGCCAC